CAGCUCAAAUUUGAAAGCUGGCCCUUUUAGGGUCCGCGUUGUAAUUUGUAGAGGAUGAUUCGGCGAGGGCUCCCGCCUAAGUCCCCUGGAACGGGGCGUCAUAGAGGGUGAGAAUCCCGUAUGUGGUGGGCUGCCUUAGCCAUGUGAAUCUCCUUCGACGAGUCGAGUUGUUUGGGAAUGCAGCUCUAAAUGGGAGGUAAAUUUCUUCUAAAGCUAAAUACCGGCCAGAGACCGAUAGCGCACAAGUAGAGUGAUCGAAAGAUGAAAAGCACUUUGGAAAGAGAGUUAAAAAGUACGUGAAAUUGUUGAAAGGGAAGCGCUUGCAACCAGACUUGUCCGCAGUUGCUCAGCCGGUCUCCUGACCGGCGUACUCUUCUGCGGCCAGGCCAGCAUCAGUUCGGGCGGUCGGAUAAAGACCUCGGGAAUGUAGCUCCUCUCGGGGAGUGUUAUAGCCCGGGGUGGAAUGCGGCCAGCCUGGACUGAGGAUCUCGCUUCGGCAAGGAUGCUGGCGUAAUGGUUGUAAGCGGCCCGUCUUGAAACACGGACCAAGGAGUCUAACAUCUAUGCGAGUGUUUGGGUGUCAAACCCAUACGCGUAAUGAAAGUGAACGGAGGUGGGAACCCGCAAGGGUGCACCAUCGGCCGAUCCUGAUGUCUUCGGAUGGAUUUGAGCAAGAGCAUAGCUGUUGGGACCCGAAAGAUGGUGAACUAUGCCUGAAUAGGGUGAAGCCAGAGGAAACUCUGGUGGAGGCUCGCAGCGGUUCUGACGUGCAAAUCGAUCGUCAAAUUUGGGUAUAGGGGCGAAAGACUAAU
Molecule: ribosomal RNA, 812 nt
Filed under: Diplodia mutila
Lineage: Eukaryota; Fungi; Ascomycota; Dothideomycetes; Botryosphaeriales; Botryosphaeriaceae
Description: partial large subunit ribosomal RNA
Rfam family: Eukaryotic large subunit ribosomal RNA
Source: RNAcentral